UUUUCGUAAACCCCGAGACGGCGACGUCGUGUCACGUUCUCGCUUUCGCUGUGCCGUCGGAGUUCACGAAGUGAAAGGAUCCAACGACUCGCAGUCGACUGGGACUCCUCGGUCCGUGUUUCAAGACGGGUCGGGUAGGUUGCCGAUGCUCGUCGCUGACCGGCAGCAGCGGGCGGCUUUU
Molecule: long non-coding RNA, 181 nt
Organism: Octopus sinensis (East Asian common octopus)
Lineage: Eukaryota; Metazoa; Mollusca; Cephalopoda; Octopoda; Octopodidae
Exons: 3
Source: RefSeq, a predicted model, not a curated record